Etheostoma spectabile (orangethroat darter) is the source of this 3289-nucleotide long non-coding RNA. RefSeq lists it as uncharacterized. The transcript is spliced from 4 exons. The record is from RefSeq and is a predicted model, not a curated record. Lineage: Eukaryota; Metazoa; Chordata; Actinopteri; Perciformes; Percidae.
AGACACAUCCAGGUCCAUUUCUGAGGGUCAACAGUUCACCUCACCCAACUCUGAAGACUUUCAGUUAGGGUCUGAGGUUCAAAAACACCCUCUAGUUUAGUUCCAGAGACUGGCUCUAGUCCCCUGCAGUCUGGCCUUCUUCCAGUCCAGCCAUGAUUGCGUUUUAGGACUUCUGCUCUGGUGUGGUAGCAGGCGUGGCCAGACUCUCCGGCUUCACAAUCUGAUGACGUACUCUGCAUACGCCAGUCCGUUGACGCUGGGUCGACCUAUAACCGAGUGGUGUCCAGGGGGGGCGUGGGCCAUUUUCAUCGCACUAAACUGAAGAAACGACUUACCCAGCGUCACUCUGCAGAACAGCAUCUGCCUGAAAUGCAAACACACAGAAUGAUACAUGAAGACUGGAACUCCUUGUCGUCCAGUGCCAGGUCGAUCAGCACGGUUCCCUGGCUGGAGCAGUGGAACGUCAGAUAUGGGUUUGCACCUAUAAACAAAAAAAUGACACUGACAAUAAAUUUCUUAUCAAACAUUACAGGUAUAGCCAUAUAUAUAACACAGGAGUUUGAUGUAUAGAUGAACUAAAGUAAUCUGAAGACUAAAUAAGAGAACUUGGUAUUAUAAAGAACAUGCUUGAUUGUUUUAACAUUUCAGUGUUUAUUUGUCAACUACGUAUUUAUAUACAGUUAUUUCAAUACAGUAAAGCGUGUGUGUGUUCCUGACCUUGCUGGCCACCCAGCAGCCUCUCGAUGCCCUUGAUGAGUUUGUGUCUGUGGCCGUAAGCGUUGAUGCCGAUCUCUUUCAGCUCCUCGUGACCCAUAUCUGCCAGCACAUCCAGCGAAAUCUGCCCAGAAAUAACAAAUGAGUCAUGCCAGUCUUGCUUAGAGUUGUCUUCUGCCAAACAAUGUAUAUUACUAGGAAAAUAACAUUUUAUGCUCUUAAUGUCCAAUAAUUAUUUGAGCGAUACUUCUAAUUAUACUGAAUAUCUGUCAACUGAAUCAAAUGUCCUAAUUUAUUGAAAGGUAGAACUCUUGAAAGCUAAACAAAAACACAUUACAGUUUGAUGGUGACAACAGCAAGUCGUGCUAAAACUGAACAUUAAAAUGAAAUAACCAAAAAAAUCAUGAGGUCAAUGAUCUAAGACACUGCAGAGACAAUCGUUCUCACAAAUAUUCAUAAGAGGAAGACAGAAGCAUUAUUGGAAAAAAGGUCAACGAAUGAAUGGCAGUCAUUAUAUGCAAAAUGAUGAUGGUGAAGAUUGUGAGUUUUUUCAUGCUGGUGGCAGAGAUUACUCUGCUUUUUAAACAGUUACCUUUACGUACUUCCCUUUGUGUUGCUGUGAUCACCAUAGCUUAAAUACUCUUCUCCGAAUCAUAACACUUAACAGAAAUAAGCCAAACAGAAACUGAAAAUUUGUCUGGCACCAAAGUGAAUACCAGAACCCUGCCUUCAUUUCCUAAAUCACAGCAAAAAGAUGAAAACUUCAUCUUUUUUACUUCCUCAGAAGCCUGUAUAAUCUUUCUAACAGAGGAAAAACUGUUUGUCACACUCGAUUUGAAGUAUUCACAGAAAACAUCAGCCUGGUUCUCGCCACUGGCUGAUGCUUCAAGCUGCCAUCUUACCAUUUCAGAGCAGUCUGCCACCUGGAACAUCCAACUAAAUAACUUCUACCAAUUCCUUGCAUCUUGCAAAAUGACUGCCUUCUCCUUGCAAGUUUUAACUAACUAAAAUUGAAUAGAGGCCGAUCUCCAUAUGUUUUGCAAAAACUGUUCAAUCAAACGUUGUGUUGACGAAGGUUUACUACUAAUCGUCUUCUACAACAAAAAACAAAUCAGAAGAGGAGCUUGACAGAGGGAACAGAGGGAGGAUUCACACCGCAGAAAGUUGAUUAGAGUUGUAAAUCAUUACAGCUGAAAUAGGUUUGGUUUUCUGUCUUUUGACACAAUAUCGUAAUUUCAACAUAAUGAGUAAAAAGUGUUCUAGUGUAAAAAAAGUGUUUGUGUUCAAGUAAAUUAAAUUGGCCGAUAUGAAUUCCGUUAAACCUACAGUAAGUAUCUCUUUGUUAUGACUGAGUUAUUGUUAUUCUGAAAUAAAAAUAUACUUUUCCAUUAAAACCAAGUUGACUCUUACCUUAAUCACAAUCUUCAUCUGAAUAUCAAUGAUUGCUUGUUUCCCUUUAGGGGAACCAAGGAUACAUAUAACACAAAGAAACCCUGCGCACUGCUCUGCUUAGUCUUUGGCAUGUCUGCUUCUGUUUUUCUCUCUGUCUGAUUUUUCCUUUUUCUGUCAACCCAUCUGUCUCCUUGUUGCUGCCUAUGUCUAUUUCCUCCAUCUUUCUCCUUAAGCCUAUCUCUUUAUUUUUUCCCCUUGUUCUCUCACUCCGUCCAUCUGUAUCGCUCUUCUGUCUCCAUUGCUCUAUGACAUCACCACCUCUUUCUUUCUGACAGUGGAGCAGACAUAGUCUACAGCGAUGCUCCAACUCUGCAAGACUGUACUUAGGCCCAGUGGUGCUCUGAGCUAAACGCUAACACUACCAUCCACACAACAACAAUGCUAACAUGCUGAUGGCUGAUAGCUUUGCAAGUAUUUAGCCAUAAACCUAGCUAUAAUAAGCAAUAAAAAUGUUGGACAAAUUAAAAUGUUGAUGACCCAAGAUAAAAAGUUGAGGGAAGAGCAAAGUAAUUACAUCCUGAGGGGAACAUGGAUGUCUGAACCAAAUUUUAUGGCAAUCCAUCUGUUGUUGAGAUAAUUCAGUCUGGACCAAACAUUGCCCUCCCUUGAGCUUCACCGCUAGAAUGGUUAUGAACUGACAUGAGGAAUGUAAAAUGGAACAAAAACGAACAAAAGAACUGAUUAAAUAAAUGAGUUCAAACCAAGACUGAAUUAACCCUAUAAGAAACAAACUAGAAGCCUAAAGACAUUAGUAAAAGUUGGAUAUUUACAUUGAAGAAAUUCCCCUCAACAAUAUUUCACUUGUACUUUGAAGCUCUUUCCUGAUCUUUCCACCUUUCAUCCUCAUCUGUUAUACCUAUGUGCCUCUCCAGUUCUUUGCACCUUUUGCUGUUCCCGUUCACUUUUGCUUCACCAGACACAUAAAGAAAGGUUUGUGUACCUGUUCCCGCUGGAAGGUCUCUCGGAGAUGUUCCAGCCCUAGGCUCUUCAAAAACUGGUUGAUGGUCAUGUCGAGCAGAGCUGCAGAGACACAGAGAGACCCAGAUGCUCCGUCUGCUGGUCCAGUGGCCCCGCCCACAGUGAUGUCACUGAGGGGCGCGGUCAGGUUGUCUAUGCUGCUGGC